Molecule: ribosomal RNA, 250 nt
Filed under: uncultured prokaryote
Description: partial 16S ribosomal RNA
Rfam family: Bacterial small subunit ribosomal RNA
Source: RNAcentral
GACGAACCGUGCGAACGUUAUUCGGAAUCACUGGGCUUAAAGCGCGUGUAGGCGGAUUGGUGCGUCGGCGCCUGAAAUCCCCCGGCUCAACCGGGGAACGCGGCCCGAAACGACCAGUCUCGAGGGACGUAGGGGGAUCUGGAACUUCCGGUGGAGCGGUGAAAUGCGUUGAGAUCGGAAGGAACGCCCGUGGCGAAAGCGAGAUCCUGGACGUCUUCUGACGCUGAGACGCGAAAGCUAGGGGAGCGAA